CAACGGAAUUCGAAGAUAACAAACCCGUGCCAAAUUGCGCUCGUUUGCGAAAUCCUGCUGCACUAUAUUAUAAUAUGUUACGCGUUCGAAAUGAGUAUUUAGGUGACUGCUGCAGUAUAAUACACUCGUAUAUGCUAUGCCUGUUUAAAUACGAAUUCUCCUUCUCCUGCUCCUGCUCUGCCACCGUCUCCUCCAGAGACGUAACAGAAGACGCGAUAAAAUUCCU
Non-coding RNA from Cinara cedri, 226 nucleotides. The record is from the annotation of a GenBank genome assembly. NCBI's taxonomy places the organism in Eukaryota, Metazoa, Arthropoda, Insecta, Hemiptera, Aphididae.